Molecule: ribosomal RNA, 400 nt
Filed under: uncultured bacterium
Lineage: Bacteria
Description: bacterial SSU rRNA
Rfam family: Bacterial small subunit ribosomal RNA
Source: RNAcentral
UAUNGGGCAAUGGGCGCAAGCCUGACCCAGCNACGCCGCGUGAAGGAAGAAGUAUCUCGGUAUGUAAAGCUCUAUCAGCAGGGAAGAAAGAAAUGACGGUACCUGAGUAAGAAGCCCCGGCUAACUACGUGCCAGCAGCCGCGGUAAUACGUAGGGGGCAAGCGUUAUCCGGAAUUACUGGGUGUAAAGGGAGCGUAGACGGUGAUGUAAGUCUGGAGUGAAAGGCGGGGGCCCAACCCCCGGACUGCUCUGGAAACUAUGUGACUGGAGUGCAGGAGAGGUGAGCGGAAUUCCUAGUGUAGCGGUGGAAUGCGUAGAUAUUAGGAGGAACACCAGUGGCGAAGGCGGCUCACUGGACUGUAACUGACGUUGAGGCUCGAAAGCGUGGGGAGCAAACAGG